Molecule: transfer RNA, 85 nt
Filed under: Felis catus (domestic cat)
Lineage: Eukaryota; Metazoa; Chordata; Mammalia; Carnivora; Felidae
Rfam family: tRNA
About the family: Transfer RNA (tRNA) molecules are approximately 80 nucleotides in length. Their secondary structure includes four short double-helical elements and three loops (D, anti-codon, and T loops).
Source: Rfam by way of RNAcentral
GCCUGGGUGGCUCAGUUGGUUAAGCGUCUGACUUCGGCUCAGGUCAUGAUCUCGUGGUCCGUGAGUUCGAGCCCCGCAUCGGGCU